RNAcentral lists this transfer RNA (74 nucleotides) under Chryseobacterium polytrichastri. Its description in RNAcentral is "tRNA_Gly_TCC". It matches the Rfam family "tRNA". Rfam says of the family: Transfer RNA (tRNA) molecules are approximately 80 nucleotides in length. Lineage: Bacteria; Pseudomonadati; Bacteroidota; Flavobacteriia; Flavobacteriales; Weeksellaceae. The record is from RNAcentral.
GAGUACAUAGUUGAUAAUUGGAAAAAUACUGCCCUUCCAAGGCAAAGUUGCAGGUUUGAGUCCUGCUGUACUCC